AAGUCGUAACAAGGUUUCCGUAGAUGAACCUGCGGAAGGAUCAUUAUUGUAUAACCGAGGUGCGAGGGCUGUCGCUGACCCGAAAGGUCGUGCACGCCCGAGUGCCCUCACACACAUCCAUCUCACCCCUAUGUGCACCACCGCGUGGGUCCCCCUUUGGCUUGUUCGGAGGGGGGCUUACGUUUUCACACAAACUUUGUAUGCAGUGUAGAAUGUAUUUUUUGUUUUUGCGAUCACGCAAUCAAUACAACUUUCAACAACGGAUCUCUUGGCUCUCGCAUCGAUGAAGAACGCAGCGAAAUGCGAUACGUAAUGUGAAUUGCAGAAUUCAGUGAAUCAUCGAAUCUUUGAACGCACCUUGCGCCCCUUGGCAUUCCGAGGGGCACACCCGUUUGAGUGUCGUGAAAUUCUCAAAAACCUUUUUCUUUUUGGGAAAGGGUUUUUGGACUUGGAGGCUUUUUGCUGGCUUCACCUUGAAGUGAGCUCCUCCUAAAUGAAUCAGUGGGGUCCGCUUUGCCGAUCCUUGACGUGAUAAGAUGUUUCUGCGUCUUUGGGUUUGGCACUGUCACCUGCUUCUAACUGUCUCAUUGACAAUGAUGGUGCUCCGGUCACCACCGCUCUUAUCGGUGGGAGGCUUGACCCACAAAAACAAAACCUUGACCUCAAAUCGGGUGAGACUACCCGCUGAACUUAAGCAUAUCAAUAAGCGGAGGAAAAGAAACUAACAAGGAUUCCCCUAGUAACUGCGAGUGAAGCGGGAAAAGCUCAAAUUUAAAAUCUGGUGGCCUUUGGCCAUCCGAGUUGUAAUUUAGAGAA
RNAcentral lists this unclassified non-coding RNA (816 nucleotides) under uncultured Russula. Its description in RNAcentral is "sequence contains ITS1, 5.8S rRNA gene and ITS2". The stretch from base 249 to 402 matches the Rfam family "5.8S ribosomal RNA". Lineage: Eukaryota; Fungi; Basidiomycota; Agaricomycetes; Russulales; Russulaceae. The record is from RNAcentral.